RNAcentral lists this ribosomal RNA (451 nucleotides) under uncultured bacterium. RNAcentral's name for it is "SSU rRNA". It matches the Rfam family "Bacterial small subunit ribosomal RNA", at positions 26 to 518 of the family's 1533-position model. The record is from RNAcentral.
AGAGCGAACGCUGGCGGCAUGCUUAACACAUGCAAGUCGCACGGGCAGGGGAAACCCUGUCAGUGGCGGACGGGUGAGUAACGCGUAGGUAUCUAUCCUUGGGUGGGGGACAACGGCUGGAAACGGCUGCUAAUACCGCAUGAUGACCGAGGUCUAAAGGCGCAAGUCGCCUGGGGAGGAGCCUGCGUACGAUUAGCUUGUUGGUGGGGUAAAGGCCUACCAAGGCUACGAUCGUUAGCUGGUCUGAGAGGAUGAUCAGCCACAUUGGGACUGAGACACGGCCCAAACUCCUACGGGAGGCAGCAGUGGGGAAUAUUGGACAAUGGGCGUAAGCCUGAUCCAGCAAUGCCGCGUGUGUGAAGAAGGUCUUCGGAUUGUAAAGCACUUUCGGACGGGGACAUGAUGACGGUACCCGUAGAAGAGCCCCGGCUAACUUCGUGCCAGCAGCCGC